AUUGAACGCUGGCGGCAUGCUUUACACAUGCAAGUCGAACGGUAACAGGCCUUCGGGUGCUGACGAGUGGCGAGCGGGGGAGUAAUGCAACGGAACGUGCCCAGAGGUGGGGGAUAACGCAGCGAAAGCUGUGCUAAUACCGCAUGUGAGCUGAGGAUGAAAGCGGGGGACCAAGCAGCAAUGUUUGGCCUCGCGCCUCUGGAGCGGCCGAUGUCAGAUUAGGUAGUUGGUGGGGUAAAGGCCUACCAAGCCGACGAUCUGUAGCUGGGCUGAGAGGACGACCAGCCACACUGGAACUGAGACACGGCCCAGACUCCUACGGGAGGCAGCAGUGGGGAAUUUUGGACAAUGGGCGAAAGCCUGAUCCAGCAAUGCCGCGUGCGUGAAGAAGGCCUUCGGGUUGUAAACCGCUUUUGUACGGAACGAAAAGGCUCUGGCUAAUACCUGGGGCUGAUGACGGUACCGUAAGAGUAAGCACCGGCUAACUACGUG
This 492-nucleotide ribosomal RNA is filed under the name uncultured bacterium. RNAcentral's name for it is "partial 16S ribosomal RNA". It matches the Rfam family "Bacterial small subunit ribosomal RNA", at positions 29 to 507 of the family's 1533-position model. The record is from RNAcentral.